GAUGAAGAACGCAGUGAAAUGCGAUACGUAAUGUGAAUUGCAGAAUUCAGUGAAUCAUCGAGUCUUUGAACGCACAUUGCGCCCCCUGGUAUUCCGGGGGGCAUGCCUGUCCGAGCGUCAUUGCUGCCCUCAAGCACGGCUUGUGUGUUGGGCCUCCGUCCUCCUCCCGGGGGACGGGCCCGAAAGGCAGCGGCGGCACCGCGUCCGGUCCUCGAGCGUAUGGGGCUUCGUCACCCGCUCUUGUAGGCCCGGCCGGCGCUUGCCGACACAUCAAUCUUUUUUCCAGGUUGACCUCGGAUCAGGUAGGGAUACCCGCUGAACUUAAGCAUAUCAAUAGCGGAGG
RNAcentral lists this unclassified non-coding RNA (343 nucleotides) under soil metagenome. RNAcentral describes it as "partial contains 5.8S ribosomal RNA, internal transcribed spacer 2, and large subunit ribosomal RNA". The stretch from base 1 to 120 matches the Rfam family "5.8S ribosomal RNA", at positions 35 to 154 of the family's 154-position model. The record is from RNAcentral.